UCUCCGUAGGUGAACCUGCGGAGGGAUCAUUACCGAGUGAGGGGGCUCACGCCCUCGACCUCCCAACCCUUUGUCUAACCAACUCUGUUGCCUCGGGGGCGACCCGGCCGCGCGUCGGGCGCCCCCAGAGGGCCAAUCAAACUCUGCAUCUUUGCGUCGGAGAAUUGAAAGCAAAUCAAUCAAAACUUUUAACAACGGAUCUCUUGGUUCUGGCAUCGAUGAAGAACGCAGC
Molecule: unclassified non-coding RNA, 232 nt
Filed under: uncultured fungus
Lineage: Eukaryota; Fungi
Description: sequence contains ITS1, 5.8S rRNA gene
Rfam family: 5.8S ribosomal RNA (bases 184-232)
Source: RNAcentral